GCCGAGCGCCAUAGGGACACCUAACUGCGUGUGCCCAGGUGCACCCGGCCUCUGAGCACCGGUGCAGGCGGUACCCUCUGCCUAUACCUCCUUCCUUCUGCAGACCCAGACUAAGUACCAUAACCUCUGGAAAGUCUUCCCUGAGCCUCUACUUCCCCAGGAUGAUCUAGCAUCUUCCUCUGGUUUCCACUGCUUUGAAAUAGGAGUGGAAACAAACAUGCACUGCGAGCCCACUGAGCACCAGGCAGUUUACACAAAUUAUUUGGAUAGGAGGGAUUCACGUAACCCUGCUUGAACAGAAGAUCAAGAAUAUUAAGUGACUUUUCCAAAGUCGUGUGGCUGGAAAACGGUGGGGAGUCUACACUUCCAGCAUUCAAUCAUGCAACAACCUCUACUGAGCUAAUAUGUGUUGGACACUUUUCAGGCGAAACGAACACUUCACCUACUUGCCUCAUUAUCCAUCUCUUCUCCUGGGAUGUAUGCUUCAGGGGAACUAGGAUCCUGGUCUGUCCUGUUCUCUGCUGUGUCCCAGUGUCCAGAACUGUGCCAGCUGUGUUGGCCAAAGAUGGACACAAAGUCACCCUACAGAAGAUACAAGACUGGAAUGUAGUAGAACUCGUGGUGAAUGAAGAAGUCG
RNA transcript from Suricata suricatta (meerkat), 637 nucleotides. It is a transcript of the gene named chromosome 2 C10orf53 homolog, with no coding region annotated. NCBI's taxonomy places the organism in Eukaryota, Metazoa, Chordata, Mammalia, Carnivora, Herpestidae. The record is from RefSeq and is a predicted model, not a curated record. The transcript is spliced from 3 exons.